This 454-nucleotide ribosomal RNA is filed under the name uncultured Desulfobulbus sp. Its description in RNAcentral is "bacterial SSU rRNA". It matches the Rfam family "Bacterial small subunit ribosomal RNA", at positions 927 to 1382 of the family's 1533-position model. Lineage: Bacteria; Pseudomonadati; Thermodesulfobacteriota; Desulfobulbia; Desulfobulbales; Desulfobulbaceae. The record is from RNAcentral.
AAGCGGUGGAGCAUGUGGUUUAAUUCGAUGAUACGCGAGGAACCGUUACCUGGGCUCAAAUGUAUGUUGACGUAUUCUGAAAGGGAGUACUUCUUCGGACAAUAUACAAGGUGCUGCAUGGUUGUCGUCAGCUCGUGCCGUGAGGUGUCGGGUUAAGUCCCAUAACGAGCGCAACCCUUGCCUUUAGUUGCCAGCAGUUCGGCUGGGCACUCUAAAGGGACUGCCGGUGUUAAACCGGAGGAAGGUGGGGAUGACGUCAAGUCCUCAUGGCCUUUAUGACCAGGGCUACACACGUACUACAAUGGCCGAUACAAAGGGCAGCGACACUGCGAGGUGAAGCCAAUCCCGUAAAAUCGGUCUCAGUCCGGAUUGGAGUCUGCAACUCGACUCCAUGAAGUUGGAAUCGCUAGUAAUCGUGGAUCAGCAUGCCACGGUGAAUACGUUCCCGGGCCUU